Molecule: ribosomal RNA, 467 nt
Filed under: uncultured bacterium
Lineage: Bacteria
Description: bacterial SSU rRNA
Rfam family: Bacterial small subunit ribosomal RNA
Source: RNAcentral
UGGGGAAUUUUGGACAAUGGGCGAAAGCCUGAUCCAGCCAUGCCGCGUGCAGGAUGACGGUCCUAUGGAUUGUAAACUGCUUUUGUACAGGAAGAAACAGUUCUACGUGUAGAACCUUGACGGUACUGUAAGAAUAAGGAUCGGCUAACUCCGUGCCAGCAGCCGCGGUAAUACGGAGGAUCCAAGCGUUAUCCGGAAUCAUUGGGUUUAAAGGGUCCGUAGGCGGUUAGAUAAGUCAGUGGUGAAAGCCCAUCGCUCAACGGUGGAACGGCCAUUGAUACUGUCUGACUUGAAUUAUUAGGAAGUAACUAGAAUAUGUAGUGUAGCGGUGAAAUGCUUAGAGAUUACAUGGAAUACCAAUUGCGAAGGCAGGUUACUACUAAUGGAUUGACGCUGAUGGACGAAAGCGUGGGUAGCGAACAGGAUUAGAUACCCCAGUAGUCCCUGAGCGGGCUGGCAAGGCGCAU